Papaver somniferum (opium poppy) is the source of this 1790-nucleotide long non-coding RNA. RefSeq lists it as uncharacterized. The record is from RefSeq and is a predicted model, not a curated record. The transcript has 2 exons. Lineage: Eukaryota; Viridiplantae; Streptophyta; Magnoliopsida; Ranunculales; Papaveraceae.
AUUGUGCCUGUAAUGAAGAAUAAAAUUGAUUAAAUUAUCCACCAACAAAGAAAUCUGAAGACGCCAUCAACAAAUACUAAAUAAAAGAUAAGUUUUCUUUGUCGUAUCCUUUUAAUUUUUUAAUGUUUUACUUUUGAAAAUUGGUAUUAAGAUUUCGAAAGCUUAAUUAAAACUUCGAUUUCACUUUAAUGUUAUUAUCUGAUUCAUGAUUAGCAUUCAACUCUACUUGAACUCCCUAUUUCUCUUUAUUUUGAGUUAGAAAUUUCGAAAAAAAAAUUGAAAAACAAUUCCAAAAACUUUCUUCGCGGGGAAUCUAUCGACCUUUCAAUCAUUUAUCCUGAUUGAAUACCAUACCAGAUUUGUAAUCCUCAUGUGUGAAUCUGUAUUACCCAUUUAAUAUUUUCGAAGACGGAGUAGUUUGAUUUUUCGACCAAUUUGAUUUUGUUGAUUUUGUAUAUUUUUAUGUAUAAAUUAGUAAAUAUGAGUCAAAUGAUGAAGAUAAUGCCUAUGUUCGGUUAAUUCAAGGUAAUGAAAGUUGUACAGUUGUGAGAAUGUAUAUAUACUUACGGUAGUGAAUUCGUUCCUUUGGAGCCUUGUUAAUUUGUUUGGUAAUUAGUUAGUUCAUUUAAGUGUUUUGAGGUUGAAGUUUAAGCUUGUAGUUAUAGAUUUGGCUUUUAUUUGAUUUGGAUUUGAAGUAAACUAUAAUUUAACUUUAUGGAUUUCUUUGCAUUGAAUUAAUGGUGGAUUGAUUCAUUCCUUUGGAGCCUUGUUAAUUUGUUUGGUAAUUAGUUAGUUGAUUUAAGUGUUUUGAGGUUGAAGUUUAAGCUUGUAGUUAUAGAUUUGGCUUUUAUUUGAUUUGGAUUUGAAGUAAUAUGGUGGAUUAACGAUAUUUUUAAUUUUCGUGCUCAGUGUAUUUUGAUUUAUAUUUGGUAUACAGAGUUUUAUGCUAAACCUUAAAUGUGUAGUUGUUUUGCUUUGUUUGUGGUCUUGUUGAGCUUGGGUUUUGUGUGAUUUCUAUCCUCCAAGAACUAUUGAGGGUUUCGUGUUAAGUUUAUUUUAAGGAUUGAUUUCAAUUAUGAAUAUUAAGUGUCUUAUACUCUUACCGAAUACAUAACCUUUUUUAUGCUCAUUUGUAGUGUUAGGUGGCCUAGAUGUACUUAGUAAUGAAGAUGCAACAACGGGUACAUCGAAUAGUGAAGUUAUAGAGGUAUUAAAAAACAUACCAUAUAAAGAUGUUGUGUUUGGGAAUGGUGGAUACACAACUAAAUUUUAUCACUUUCAGAGGUAAUUCUAGAUUCCUGGAUAGGUAGUUCUACUAUCUGGCAAGUUGAAUACAAUAAAAAUGCAUGUUUAUAUUAAUUUUGGUUCUUUGCGGUCGCUUAUGUGUCCACUAAUGGAUACUAAACCUAUUGAUAGAAAAUAAGUAAUCCUAUCUGCUAUAUUUUUUGUAUUCAGUUAGAUUCUUGUUAAAAAUCUAAGCCCAUGCAUCAAUAAGCUUUUUCUGGUCCAGUAUAUGAAUCUUAUGUGCUUAACAACUAGUUGUUAAAUGCCUUGUUGGAGGUUCUAGGUAAAUUGCACCCACAUUGGAACAUUGAUGUUUAAGAUCCUUUGGUGCGAAUGGACAAGUAGUUACAUGGAUGUGGGACUAUUAUUUACACAAGUUAUAUGGAUGUGUAACUGAUAGUUACACAUGAUGGGAUACAAAGUCUAUGUUCUAUAUGUUAUGAAAAGUUAUAUCAUGCAUAUUGAAAUGACAAUGCAAGUUAUAAUAUUUGGGGCCAAUUCGUCUA